UAUGACGGGUAUCCGGCCUGAGAGGGUGAUCGGACACACUGGAACUGAGACACGGUCCAGACUCCUACGGGAGGCAGCAGUAGGGAAUAUUGCUCAAUGGGCGAAAGCCUGAAGCAGCAACGCCGCGUGGAGGAUGAAGGUUUUAGGAUUGUAAACUCCUUUUGUUAGAGAAGAUAAUGACGGUAUCUAACGAAUAAGCACCGGCUAACUCCGUGCCAGCAGCCGCGGUAAUACGGAGGGUGCAAGCGCUACUCGGAAUCACUGGGCGUAAAGAGUGCGUAGGCGGGAAGGUAAGUCAGAUGUGAAAUCCUGUAGCUUAACUACAGAACUGCAUUUGAAACUACUUUUCUAGAGUGUGGGAGAGGUAGGUGGAAU
This 375-nucleotide ribosomal RNA is filed under the name uncultured Helicobacter sp. Its description in RNAcentral is "bacterial SSU rRNA". It matches the Rfam family "Bacterial small subunit ribosomal RNA", at positions 275 to 667 of the family's 1533-position model. Lineage: Bacteria; Pseudomonadati; Campylobacterota; Epsilonproteobacteria; Campylobacterales; Helicobacteraceae. The record is from RNAcentral.